Molecule: ribosomal RNA, 253 nt
Filed under: uncultured bacterium
Lineage: Bacteria
Description: partial 16S ribosomal RNA
Rfam family: Bacterial small subunit ribosomal RNA
Source: RNAcentral
UACGAAGGGGGCUAGCGUUGCUCGGAAUCACUGGGCGUAAAGCGUGCGCAGGCGGCUUUGCAAGACAGAUGUGAAAUCCCCGGGCUCAACCUGGGAACUGCAUUUGUGACUGCAAGGCUGGAGUGCGGCAGAGGAGACUGGAAUUCCUGGUGUAGCAGUGAAAUGCGUAGAUAUCAGGAGGAACACCGAUGGCGAAGGCAGGUCUCUGGGCUGACACUGACGCUCAUGCACGAAAGCGUGGGGAGCAAACAGG